CUGGGAUGAUCUUUCUAUUCAUGUUAGAGUCUGCAUCACUGCCUGUUUUUGGGUCCUCACCUACAACACACAUUUUAACUUGGCUUGUAUUACACAGCGAACAGAGCAGAACCUGAAUCUGAGAACCAGGAUCUGAACGUUCUGGAGGUUUGUGAGGACUGAAGGUUUGAUGAAACCGUUUUCAGAUGAUUCCUGAGCAGAUCCCAGAAAUCCUCAGGAAUCAUCAGGAAAUUAUCUGAUGGAACCUCAGAUCUCAGGAAAUCCACGAAGAAAAAGAAAAACUAGAAGGAGAAUCUCCUAACCAGUCCUGAAGCUGACAGGCAGCCAGUGCAAAAUACAAUCUAAGGACCCAAAAAUACGAUGAGGACGGUCUUCAUCCUUGUUUGGUUUGAUGGGCUCUUCAGGAAAACCAUCAGCGGUUACAGCAGCUGCUUCUUUGGGGGUAAAACUAUGAAAAAACAUCAACUAUGAAGGAAAAUGGACAGGCCUACAGCCAGACUAGCUGGGAUUCCAGAUUCCUGAUGGAUCGUCUGUGCUCCUGUUCCUGGUCGUGGACCUCGCCCUCCCCCGUCCCCCAGUCCUAUCUGGCUGAACUCUAUUCAAAUACGUAGUUGUAGAGUUAGAUCAUCUAAUUCCUCUUCAACAGUCCUGUCCGUCCUGGAUGUGGGCAUCCCUGAGGUUUCUUCUUUUCCUGAAUCAGUUUUUCUCCGUAGUUUUUUUGGGAUGGAGGGUCUAAGGACAGGGAAAACCAGCUUUAUUUAGUCUGUUUAGUUUAGCAAUUAGCUAUUUUUUAUAUUUUACGACUGACCUUCUGCUUCUGUAAAAUGAAGCCGAUUACCCAAUAUCCUGCCCAAAAUGAAUUGAAUUGAAAAAGCUUCCAUAAGAAGAUGACUCAUUUCAGUCUGUUGAUGGGGGGGUUGCAGUAAUUCUUAAAAAGCGUCCUGAUCUUUUCAUCUCUUCCUCUGCAGAGUGAAGCAUUUGUUGAAGAAAUGGAUCGACUCUGAGAGCUCAGAUCUGAAGGAUCGAGCAUCUAUCUGGUCAGGUUUCCGACAACUGUACCAGAAGAUAACGGUCCCUGGACCUGCAGUAGACCUGGGAAACACCAGGGUCCCAUCUCCAGAAAUUCUCUUAGAAGAUGUGGACAAAGCCGUUUGGUUUGACAGUUGUCAAGCAGAAUGUAGAUCAAAGGUUCUAGCUUUAAAAUAUGAGCCAAGUUUCCUCAUUAAUCACUUCUUCACGGUUAUCACGGUCUUUUACUGAUACACUGGAAAAAUAAAAGACUUGGUUGAACAUAA
Long non-coding RNA from Oryzias melastigma (Indian medaka), 1295 nucleotides. RefSeq lists it as uncharacterized. Lineage: Eukaryota; Metazoa; Chordata; Actinopteri; Beloniformes; Adrianichthyidae. The transcript is spliced from 4 exons. The record is from RefSeq and is a predicted model, not a curated record.